GACGAACGCUGGCGGCGUGCUUAACACAUGCAAGUCGAACGGAAAGGCCCUGCUUUUGUGGGGUGCUCGAGUGGCGAACGGGUGAGUAACACGUGAGUAACCUGCCCUUGACUUUGGGAUAACUUCAGGAAACUGGGGCUAAUACCGGAUAGGAGCUCCUGCUGCAUGGUGGGGGUUGGAAAGUUUCGGCGGUUGGGGAUGGACUCGCGGCUUAUGAGCUUGUUGGUGGGGUAGUGGCUUACCAAGGCUUUGACGGGUAGCCGGCCUGAGAGGGUGACCGGCCACAUUGGGACUGAGAGACGGCCCAGACGCCUACGGGAGGCAGCAGUGGGGAAUAUUGCACAAUGGGCGGAAGCCUGAUGCAGCAACGCCGCGUGCGGGAUGACGGCCUUCGGGUGGUAAACCGCUUUCGCCUGUGACGAAGCGUGAGUGACGGUAAUGGGUAAAGAAGCACCGGCUAACUACGUG
RNAcentral lists this ribosomal RNA (468 nucleotides) under uncultured bacterium. RNAcentral describes it as "partial 16S ribosomal RNA". It matches the Rfam family "Bacterial small subunit ribosomal RNA", at positions 28 to 507 of the family's 1533-position model. The record is from RNAcentral.